GCCAUCCAGCCACACAAAGAUCCAAAUACAAGUUCUUCCUUUACUUCGAUCCCUGUAGGGAGAAGAAGAUAAUAGGGGGUAAGCUAGAAGCUCAGUGAGUGACCAGUAAAAUCAACAGCCAAGUAUAUUUCACAAUAAAGCAUUGAUAUGAUGUCAUGAUGCAGUAAUCAAAUGUUCAUUUAUUGCUCAUGUGAGCCAGUGAAGUUCUUGUACUUAAAUAUCCAACGCUCGUUUAGAUCAGGUAACCGGGAAACAGAAGUAAGGAGCCAUCGUGCUCCAAAGAAUGUGUAAACAGUAGUGGAGACAUUGGUUCUAAGCACAAGACUUUCCAGGAUCUCAUUGGAGCCAAAUUAUGUCACGGCACACACCCAAACCCAAAUGAUAUGCAAUGGAGUAAUAAAUGCAAGAAUUAGUUCAAAAGUAACUUUGGAAAUAGUUGAGGGAUCACUCACCAACCACGACUCACGAACCUCAUCCAUCAUUUAUUAUUGUCUUGCUCAAGUCCAAGCCCUCAAAAACAGAGCUUGAAAGAGUGAUACUUCACCUCCUUUGGAAUUUCUUAGUUCCCCAAGCUUCCCAACUCACAACCCACACUUUAAUCGGUUUAGAAUUUUGAUUCUUCACUUGGAUGAUGUAAAUCAAAAAGAAAAUGGUGCAACUCUUGCUCUCCCUUUCUCUCUCCCUAUUCUCGGCCAAGGAGCAGAAAAAAUGAAGAAGAAAGGCUGCUCAUGGUGUUAAUUAAGGCAAGAGAUUAGGAUGAAUCUUGACCACAAGCUUUGCCAACACUUGGCUCACCCUUCACCACACAAUUUUCUCUUUCUUCUCCUUGCAUUUUGGCCACAUAUUUCGGUCAAGAGAUAGCUAUGAGGGGGAAGAUAUUUUGCUCAAUUAGUAAUGAGCUUAUAUGGUAAGAAAGUAGUGGUCAAGUGGUGCGUUCAAUCGCUAGUGCGCGGUACCCGCCGGUUCGCGCCGUUUUUCUUAAAAACACACGUACUAGGGUUUUCACUUCCUAUUCACUAAUCUUGUAUCAUUGCUUCUGAUCACAUAUUAUUUCUCACUUAAAAGUCAUUUUUAAUCACCAAAUUUGAUCCUUGCUUCGUACCGAAAAUUCAUCCGGCGAAAAUCGCGAAAACCCUAAUUUUGCUCCAAUCUUGAAACCAAAAGUGAAACCCUAUUUUCUAGGUUGAUUGGCACUUAUUGUGGGGUGAUUGAGUAGUAGGGCCAUUAUAAAAUGAUAUUUGUCAAAGAAAAGGGAAUUUUUAAGAAAAAUAUAAGGAAUUUGCACGGCUUCUGGCCGGAUUCUCCACAAAACACUAUUCACCAGAAAUUUUUCCCUUUUCUUCUGCCGCGGGGCAUCACAAACUCCCCUCCUUAAAAGAAUGUCAUCCUCGACAUUCCAACUUGUACUAAUCAGAUCAAAAUAGUUCUCGAAAGUCGAUCACGUAUUAAGAAUCAUGUCAAUCUCGCUUAUCAUAAUCAAAUACUAAUCAGAUCAAAUAUCUCAAUGGUUAAUCACAUACUAAGAAUCACUCAUCACAAUCAAGUACUAAAAGUACUCCAAUCCAACUUAUCAAAUAAUCUUGAUCCAAUAGAUAGUUAGACGAGUAACUGGAUACAUAUACAAAGGGGCUCGAAAUCGGACUUAAAGUCCCUGAUAUUUGGAAAAACAAUCCAGGACAUAACGAUGUCUCAGAUCAGAAAUUACCCCUAGUGGUGCUUGAAAACACAACAAGCUAGCACUCAGCUAUACUUCACCAGAAAGUCUCAGGAAUUUGUCCCCGGUGGUGCUUGAAAACACAACAAGCUAGCACUCAGCUAUACUUCACCAGAGCCUCAAAUGCAAGAUUUUGUCCAUGGCGGUGCUGGACAACACAACAGGUUAGCACAACGGCUAUACCUCACCAAAGAACCUCAGUUCAAAAUUUCAUCCUUGGUGGUGCUUGAUAACACAACAAGUUAGCACAAAGGCUAAACUUCACCAGAGGAUAUUAGCUCAAGAAAUUGGCCCUGGUGGUGCUUGAAAACACAACAAGCUAGCACUACGGCUAAGCUUCACCAGAGAGCCUCAAGUCAAAGUUUCAUCCCUGAUGGUGCUUGGAAACACAACAGGCAUGCCUCGCCAGAAGAAUGGCGGUGCUUGAAAACACAACAGGCCAUACCUCAUCAGAGAGGUUCUGUUCAAGAAUUUCAAUCCCUGAUGGUGCUUGAAAACACAACAGGCAUGCCUCGCCAGAAGAAUGGUGGUGCUUGGAAACACAACAGGCAAUGCCUCACCAGAGAGGUUAUGUUCAACCACUACAGAAGAGUAGUAGCCGGUCUAUAACCAAACAAGUGCGAAAAUGUUCAGAAACAGAGUCAAAAGCAGGGUUCAAGUGUAUCGGUUCAAAAGCGGGGUCAAUUAUUUCAGGUUCAAAGAACAUGAGUACGAGUAGGAACUCACUCGCCUAGCUUAUGCCCAGUAAUUCACACUCUCAAGCAGUCAUCAAACUCAAAUCCACAUACAGAUCAUAGAUGAAUCAAGAUACUUGCUCAAGAGUAAAAGAGAUACCCUAUUUUCAGUCAGGUCAGGUCUAUCAAGUGUACGUAAGGGUACACUAGCCGAUACAAAUUCAAGUCUCAAAUGAGCUCAGUCUAGUCGGUCUUAGACAGUUCAAAUACCUCAAAUCUUAACAUUUACCACUGGGGUGGUAUAACCUUAAUCAAACAGGGAAAUUAGAAGAAAAAUGCAAACCAAAACUUUUCUCAACAAUUCCAGCCACCACCAUAAUCUAUCAAAACCCUAGCCAAGAAUCCAAAACUAAGAAACUGUACAGCUCAGGCCGUACGCUCUCAAGCGUAAUUCAACCAAAUCAUAUCUUAUGCGUACCACUUUCAAGAUUCACAACUGACGCUCCAAAAGAGCACUGAACGUACAAACCAAUCCCACAGUCCGGCAUCCUAAACUUUAAGCCUAGGAUACACUACAAAGAUCGGAAGCCUAAGCUCUGAUACUACCUGUGACGGCCCCACCUCCCCCUAAGGCGAACCAAAGGGUUUAGCGGACCGCCUGCCCAGCUCUCGUCGGGACUCACUCACUACUACAUUCCUCAAGUAAAUUACAAGGUACAAUUCGAAUAAUACAUCCAAUUCUCCAAAAAUUACAUAUCAUAAGCGAAACGGAAACUAGGUCUAAGCGUCGAAUGUAGAUAUACAUCCGAUUCAAAUCCAAAUAUUUAUACAGGUCCAAAAGUAUAUAAACCAAAACCAAAUCUAAACUAUACAAGAUAUACGCCAUCCAGCCACACAAAGAUCCAAAUACAAGUUCUUCCUUUACUUCGAUCCCUGUGGGGAGAAGAAGAUAAUAGGGGGUGAGCUAGAAGCUCAGUGAGUGACCAGUAAAAUCAACAGCCAAGUAUAUUUCACAAUAAAGCAUUGAUAUGAUGUCAUGAUGCAGUAAUCAAAUGUUCAUUUAUUGCUCAUGUGAGCCAGUGAAGUUCUUGUACUUAAAUAUCCAACGCUCGUUUAGAUCAGGUAACCGGGAAACAGAAGUAAGGAGCCAUCGUGCUCCAAAGAAUGUGUAAACAGUAGUGGAGACAUUGGUUCUAAGCACAAGACUUUCCAGGAUCUCAUUGGAGCCAAAUUAUGUCAUGGCACACACCCAAACCCAAAUGAUAUGUAAUGGAGUAAUAAAUACAAGAAUUAGUUCAAAAGUAACUUUGGAAAUAGUUGAGGGAUCACUCACCAACCACGACUCACGAACCUCAUCCAUCAUUUAUUAUUGUCUUGCUUAAGUCCAAGCCCUCAAAAACAAAGCUUGAAAGAGUGAUACUUCACCUCCUUUGGAAUUUCUUAGUUCCCCAAGCUUCCCAACUCACAACCCGCACUUUAAUCGAUUUAGAAUUUUGAUUCUUCACUUGGAUGAUGUAAAUCAAGCAGAAAAUGGUGCAACUCUUGCUCUCCCUUUCUCUCUCUCUAUUCUCGGC
RNAcentral lists this long non-coding RNA (3962 nucleotides) under Coffea arabica (coffee). RNAcentral's name for it is "long non-coding RNA (CARA_LNC000580)". The record is from RNAcentral. Lineage: Eukaryota; Viridiplantae; Streptophyta; Magnoliopsida; Gentianales; Rubiaceae.